Molecule: long non-coding RNA, 538 nt
Filed under: Nicotiana benthamiana
Lineage: Eukaryota; Viridiplantae; Streptophyta; Magnoliopsida; Solanales; Solanaceae
Description: long non-coding RNA (NBEN_LNC031180)
Source: RNAcentral
GUUUACCAUUCUUCUAUUACAGGACCCUCUCCGGAUAGUGAAGCUAUUGGUCAGGUGGAGUAUUCAUUUCCACUGCCUUCAACUGAGCCCUCAGACGACUCAGAAGAUAUAAGCACUGAAGCGUAUGCAGUGGGGUGGAGGCUGGAGGUGUAUCUCUCAAUUUGUUUCUCUUUGGCCAGUCAGGAACAUACUCUAGUACAGGGUCUGAAGAUGCCUUCUGGGAAGGCUCAUACUCACUCCCCGACUAGUCAAUAGCUCCGUCUGCAGCUCUUAUGAUCCUCCUUGUGUUCUUUAUGUUUUGUCAGACUUUUAGGGUCAAUAUUAUCACUCCUAAUCCCCUACCUCGAGAGGACUCCUCUCUUCCUGAUUGUUUACCACCUUUGCCUCGCGAUUUCACCAUUGUCUGCAAACAAUAUUCAGUUAUGCUUUGGUAGUAUCAGUAGGAACAAUAAAAUGCAAAGUUGCAAAAAAAAUUGUUGUAGAAAGUGUAAAUGUUGCAGAAUGCGGACCACACAAAAUGAGGUGCGGCCACAAAGAG